RNAcentral lists this long non-coding RNA (207 nucleotides) under Elaeis guineensis (African oil palm). Its description in RNAcentral is "long non-coding RNA (EGUI_LNC063011)". Lineage: Eukaryota; Viridiplantae; Streptophyta; Magnoliopsida; Arecales; Arecaceae. The record is from RNAcentral.
CAGGAUGUUACAAGUCAUAUGAUAAAAAGUCAUAUAUAUUCAUAAGAAGUCAUAUAUAUUCACAGAAAGUCAUAUAUAUUCACAAGAAGUCAUAUAUAUUCAUAAAAAGUCAUCUAUAUUCAUAAAAAAUCAUGUAUAUUCAUAAAAAGUUAUAUAUUCAUAAAAAAUUAUAUGAUAGAAAGUCGUAUAUAUUCUCAGAAAGUCAUA